GCAGUCGAGGGGCAGCGAGUAGAUUGCUUGCAAUCUACGUCGGCGACCGGCGCACGGGUGCGUAACGCGUAUGCAACCUACCCAUUACAGGGGGAUAACACUGAGAAAUCGGUACUAAUACCCCAUAACAUCCAGGGAGGCAUCUUCUUGGGUUGAAAACUCCGGUGGUAAUGGAUGGGCAUGCGUUGUAUUAGUUAGUUGGUGGGGUAACGGCUCACCAAGACGACGAUACAUAGGGGGACUGAGAGGUUAACCCCCCACAUUGGUACUGAGACACGGACCAAACUCCUACGGGAGGCAGCAGUGAGGAAUAUUGGUCAAUGGACGCAAGCCUGAACCAGCCAUGCCGCGUGCAGGAAGACGGCUCUAUGAGUUGUAAACUGCUUUUGUACGAGGGUAAACGCAGAUACGUGUAUCUGUCUGAAAGUAUCGUACGAAUAAGGAUCGGCUAACUCCGUGCCAGCAGCCGCGGUAAUACGGAGGAUUCAAGCGUUAUCCGGAUUUAUUGGGUUUAAAGGGUGCGUAGGCGGUCGGAUAAGUUAGAGGUGAAAUCCCGGGGCUCAACUUCGGAAUUGCCUCUGAUACUGUUCGGCUAGAGAGUAGUUGCGGUAGGCGGAAUGUAUGGUGUAGCGGUGAAAUGCUUAGAGAUCAUACAGAACACCGAUUGCGAAGGCAGCUUACCAAGCUACUUCUGACGUUGAGGCACGAAAGCG
RNAcentral lists this ribosomal RNA (713 nucleotides) under uncultured bacterium. RNAcentral describes it as "bacterial SSU rRNA". It matches the Rfam family "Bacterial small subunit ribosomal RNA", at positions 57 to 761 of the family's 1533-position model. The record is from RNAcentral.